CCUACGGGAGGCAGCAGUGAGGAAUAUUGGUCAAUGGUCGGGAGACUGAACCAGCCAAGCCGCGUGAGGGAUGAAGGUACAGAGUAUCGUAAACCUCUUUUGUCAGGGAACAAAGGCGGGGACGUUUCCCCGGAUGAGUGUACCUGAAGAAAAAGCAUCGGCUAACUCCGUGCCAGCAGCCGCGGUAAUACGGAGGAUGCGAGCGUUAUCCGGAUUUAUUGGGUUUAAAGGGUGCGGAGGCGGUCUGUUAAGUCAGCGGUAAAAGCCCGGGGCUCAACCCCGGCCCGCCGUUGAAACUGGCAGUCUCGAGUUGGAGAGAGGUAUGCGGAAUGCGCGGUGUAGCGGUGAAAUGCGUAGAUAUCGCGCAGAACUCCGAUUGCGAAGGCAGCAUGCCGGCUCCACACUGACGCUGAGGCACGAAAGCGUGGGUAUCGAACAGGAUUAGAUACCCUAGUAGUC
RNAcentral lists this ribosomal RNA (459 nucleotides) under uncultured bacterium. Its description in RNAcentral is "partial 16S ribosomal RNA". It matches the Rfam family "Bacterial small subunit ribosomal RNA", at positions 338 to 795 of the family's 1533-position model. The record is from RNAcentral.